CGCUAUCAUCCUACGGGAGGCAGCAGUGGGGAAUAUUGCACAAUGGGCGCAAGCCUGAUGCAGCCAUGCCGCGUGUAUGAAGAAGGCCUUCGGGUUGUAAAGUACUUUCAGCAGUGAGGAAGGUGGUGCAGUUAAUAGCUGUAUCAUUUGACGUUAGCUGCAGAAGAAGCACCGGCUAACUCCGUGCCAGCAGCCGCGGUAAUACGGAGGGUGCGAGCGUUAAUCGGAAUUACUGGGCGUAAAGCGCAUGCAGGUGGUUUGUUAAGUCAGAUGUGAAAGCCCGGGGCUCAACCUCGGAAUUGCAUUUGAAACUGGCAGACUAGAGUACUGUAGAGGGGGUAGAAUUUCAGGUGUAGCGGUGAAAUGCGUAGAGAUCUGAAGGAAUACCGGUGGCGAAGGCGGCCCCCUGGACAGAUACUGACACUCAGAUGCGAAAGCGUGGGGAGCAAACAGGAUUAGAUACCCCUGGUAG
Molecule: ribosomal RNA, 472 nt
Filed under: uncultured bacterium
Lineage: Bacteria
Description: bacterial SSU rRNA
Rfam family: Bacterial small subunit ribosomal RNA
Source: RNAcentral